This 742-nucleotide ribosomal RNA is filed under the name uncultured bacterium. RNAcentral's name for it is "bacterial SSU rRNA". It matches the Rfam family "Bacterial small subunit ribosomal RNA", at positions 139 to 882 of the family's 1533-position model. The record is from RNAcentral.
UUGGACAGCCUUCUGAAAGGAAGAUUAAUACAAGAUGGCAUCAUGAGUCCGCAUGUUCACAUGAUUAAAGGUAUUCCGGUAGACGAUGGGGAUGCGUUCCAUUAGAUAGUAGGCGGGGUAACGGCCCACCUAGUCUUCGAUGGAUAGGGGUUCUGAGAGGAAGGUCCCCCACAUUGGAACUGAGACACGGUCCAAACUCCUACGGGAGGCAGCAGUGAGGAAUAUUGGUCAAUGGGCGAGAGCCUGAACCAGCCAAGUAGCGUGAAGGAUGACUGCCCUAUGGGUUGUAAACUUCUUUUAUAAAGGAAUAAAGUCGGGUAUGGAUACCCGUUUGCAUGUACUUUAUGAAUAAGGAUCGGCUAACUCCGUGCCAGCAGCCGCGGUAAUACGGAGGAUCCGAGCGUUAUCCGGAUUUAUUGGGUUUAAAGGGAGCGUAGAUGGAUGUUUAAGUCAGUUGUGAAAGUUUGCGGCUCAACCGUAAAAUUGCAGUUGAUACUGGAUAUCUUGAGUGCAGUUGAGGCAGGCGGAAUUCGUGGUGUAGCGGUGAAAUGCUUAGAUAUCACGAAGAACUCCGAUUGCGAAGGCAGCCUGCUAAGCUGCAACUGACAUUGAGGCUCGAAAGUGUGGGUAUCAAACAGGAUUAGAUACCCUGGUAGUCCACACGGUAAACGAUGAAUACUCGCUGUUUGCGAUAUACAGCAAGCGGCCAAGCGAAAGCGUUAAGUAUUCCACCUGGGGAGUA